CUUCGGCCCGAGCUGGUUUUGUCUCCGGCGGCCGCUGCUAGAAUGAAGAUCCGCCUGAGAGAGAGAUUUGGCGGUUAAUCCUGAGGAGAUUUCGGCGGGCACAGGUCUCAAGAGGAAUACUUCAGCUGCAAAAAGAAUUCAUUCGAUUCAUCUUUUUCAACGAGUGAUUGCUAUUGAAUCAAAGGAGUCGGACCGCGCUGCUGGAGCCAUAAACAUCUAUACGAGUGACUCUGUCUGAUUCGAUUCACUGAACCAUUCAAAUGAGUCAUUUGUUUGUAAGUCAAACUGAGCACGCUAUAGUAGCAUUACACCUGCUAAGAUAAUUCAAUAUGUGCAAUCUGAAUUUAAUAAUAAUAUUUAUUUUGUGGUAACACUGCCGUGUGGGCAGCUCUGACAGAGAAAAACACUAUAGAUACGUAAGAGAAAGCCGUAAAAUGUAAGUGCAUCAUCUUUUGUUCUUGAAUGGAGGCCUAAUCUGUCUGCUGCACUUCAGCAGGUUCAGUUUUUAGAGUGAAUGAAAACUUCUGAAGCAUAGAUAUGCCGUGUGAUGUGAUUAAAAUCAUACUUAUUUUACUGUGGUGGGGAUUAUUAUGAGCAAACAAAUUUAAAAGUUUAAUCUGAACACUAUAUAUAUGUAAUCUGACAUUUAUUUAUUUUAUUUUUUUACAGAAAUUCUGAGCUGCUGCAUGAACAUUCAUCAAACAUAUAAGGCUGCAAUUUGGAAAAAAACUUUCAAGCUAAUGCUGCUGAAAUGGAGGUCAAGGGGACUAUGAAGAGGUGGCUUCCAGCUGAUCAAAAGUUACAAUAAUCAGCUGAUCCAGUCGGUAUCCAGACCAGACGGUGGACCUGCACCAGGAGUGACCACAACACAUCCCUGACUGUCAGCGGAGACCAUGUCAGCUAGAUGACAGAUCCCUGUGAAGACCUCACUGAUGGCCUCAGCACAGAUCCUCAGCAAAGACUACGAGAACCAGACAAGCCCUCUGCACAGACCCUUUUACCAGCUUCACCUGCUGGCGUGAUGUUUCCUCAAGCAGAAGAAGUUGGAUGAAAUAUUCUGAAUGAUAUCAAUCCACAAUCUGACUUGUGAUGCAGCCUGGAAUAAUCACACCACGUUCAUUCGUUUGGCCAGACGAGACUGUUUCCUGACUGAGCCGGGUCUUGUUUGGGUUUGGGUUCCUUGUCACUGUUGCCUUUUGUCUUGCUUGGUUGAAGACACCUAAUAUUCAGCAAUAUUAUUGACUUGACUGCACUGACACCAUUUGAUAAGAACUGAACUGAAUUAUGACACACAAUGUUUUAUAU
This is a long non-coding RNA of Onychostoma macrolepis, 1305 nucleotides long. RefSeq lists it as uncharacterized. The transcript is spliced from 4 exons. The record is from RefSeq and is a predicted model, not a curated record. NCBI's taxonomy places the organism in Eukaryota, Metazoa, Chordata, Actinopteri, Cypriniformes, Cyprinidae.